GGGUGAAAUCUGGAGUUGUUGAAAAAUGGUGGAGGGCUAGUUUGAGAGAGGUUGAGGCUGUUAAGAUUUUGGCAUAGAAUAGGAUUAGAUACCCUGUUAUACUAGGUUGUAAGUUGGUUCCUUGAGUAGUAAGUAGUUAUAUUCUUGAAACUUAAAGGAUUUGGCGGUAUCUUAGUCUUGUUAGAGGAACCUGUUCUUUAAACGAUAAACCACGAAUUAUCUUACUUUUUCUUGUAUUUCAGCUUGUAUACCGCCAUUAUUAGAUAGUUUUUAUAGAAAUCUGUUAUAGUAGUUUUAAGCUAGUAUAUUAGGUCAAGGUGCAGCUAAUGGGGAAGUAGUUAAUGGGUUACAAUGAUAUGAGUGUAUUACGAAUUAGGAGUGUAAAAUUUCUUUGAAGGUGGAUUUAAUAGUAAAGUUUGUUUAAUAAGCUGUUUUGAUAGGAGCUCUAAGAUAUGUA
This 457-nucleotide ribosomal RNA is filed under the name Heterocarpus fascirostratus. RNAcentral describes it as "12S ribosomal RNA". Lineage: Eukaryota; Metazoa; Arthropoda; Malacostraca; Decapoda; Pandalidae. The record is from RNAcentral.